RNAcentral lists this transfer RNA (71 nucleotides) under Candidatus Woesearchaeota archaeon. RNAcentral describes it as "tRNA-Gly". It matches the Rfam family "tRNA". Rfam says of the family: Transfer RNA (tRNA) molecules are approximately 80 nucleotides in length. Lineage: Archaea; Nanobdellati; Candidatus Woesearchaeota. The record is from RNAcentral.
GCACUAGUGAUGCAAUGGUAGCAUGAGAGCCUUCCAAGCUCUUCAUCCGGGUUCAAAUCCCGGCUAGUGCA